UGUUAAAAAUUUCAUCUAUUUUUACUGUUAAAAGCUAGUGUGAUUGACAGAAUAACAAGACAAUGACACAUCGUGUGCCACUUGUACCUCAUGUUGACGUACAUGGAUAAGUUUUUAACAGUAGAAAUGGAUGAAAAUUUUAAUA
Non-coding RNA from Gossypium hirsutum (cotton), 145 nucleotides. The record is from Rfam. Lineage: Eukaryota; Viridiplantae; Streptophyta; Magnoliopsida; Malvales; Malvaceae.